ACGAACGCUGGCGGCAUGCCUAACACAUGCAAGUCGAACGAGACCUUCGGGUCUAGUGGCGCACGGGUGCGUAACGCGUGGGAACCUGCCUUUAGGUUCGGAAUAACUCAGAGAAAUUUGAGCUAAUACCGGAUGAUGUCUUCGGACCAAAGAUUUAUCGCCUUUAGAUGGGCCCGCGUUGGAUUAGCUAGUUGGUGGGGUAAAGGCCUACCAAGGCGACGAUCCAUAGCUGGUCUGAGAGGAUGAUCAGCCACACUGGGACUGAGACACGGCCCAGACUCCUACGGGAGGCAGCAGUGGGGAAUAUUGGACAAUGGGCGAAAGCCUGAUCCAGCAAUGCCGCGUGAGUGAUGAAGGCCUUAGGGUUGUAAAGCUCUUUUACCCGAGAUGAUAAUGACAGUAUCGGGAGAAUAAGCGCCGGCUAACUCCGUG
Molecule: ribosomal RNA, 432 nt
Filed under: uncultured bacterium
Lineage: Bacteria
Description: partial 16S ribosomal RNA
Rfam family: Bacterial small subunit ribosomal RNA
Source: RNAcentral